GACGAACCGUGCGAACGUUGUUCGGAAUCACUGGGCUUAAAGGGCGCGUAGGCGGGUCAGCAAGUCCGGGGUGAAAUCUUUCGGCUCAACCGGGGAAGUGCACUCGAAACUGCAAGGCUAGAGUCUCGGAGAGGAUCGUGGAAUUCUCGGUGUAGAGGUGAAAUUCGUAGAUAUCGAGAGGAACACCGGUGGCGAAGGCGGCGAUCUGGACGAUGACUGACGCUGAGACGCGAAAGCGUGGGGAGCAAACAGG
This 253-nucleotide ribosomal RNA is filed under the name uncultured bacterium. RNAcentral describes it as "partial 16S ribosomal RNA". It matches the Rfam family "Bacterial small subunit ribosomal RNA", at positions 524 to 776 of the family's 1533-position model. The record is from RNAcentral.